UUACGGCCAUAUCACGUUGAAACAUCGGUUCUCGUCCGGUCACCGAAGUUAAGCAACAUCGAGCCUGGUCAAUAACUAGAUAGGUGACCGCUUGGGAAUAUCAGGUCCUGG
Molecule: non-coding RNA, 111 nt
Organism: Acanthosepion pharaonis
Lineage: Eukaryota; Metazoa; Mollusca; Cephalopoda; Sepiida; Sepiidae
Source: the annotation of a GenBank genome assembly